Molecule: ribosomal RNA, 2903 nt
Filed under: Escherichia coli KTE93
Lineage: Bacteria; Pseudomonadati; Pseudomonadota; Gammaproteobacteria; Enterobacterales; Enterobacteriaceae
Description: bacterial LSU rRNA
Rfam family: Bacterial large subunit ribosomal RNA
Source: RNAcentral
UUAAGCGACUAAGCGUACACGGUGGAUGCCCUGGCAGUCAGAGGCGAUGAAGGACGUGCUAAUCUGCGAUAAGCGUCGGUGAGGUGAUAUGAACCGUUAUAACCGGCGAUUUCCGAAUGGGGAAACCCAGUGUGUUUCGACACACUAUCAUUAACUGAAUCCAUAGGUUAAUGAGGCGAACCGGGGGAACUGAAACAUCUAAGUACCCCGAGGAAAAGAAAUCAACCGAGAUUCCCCCAGUAGCGGCGAGCGAACGGGGAGGAGCCCAGAGCCUGAAUCAGUGUGUGUGUUAGUGGAAGCGUCUGGAAAGGCGCGCGAUACAGGGUGACAGCCCCGUACACAAAAAUGCACAUAUUGUGAGCUCGAUGAGUAGGGCGGGACACGUGGUAUCCUGUCUGAAUAUGGGGGGACCAUCCUCCAAGGCUAAAUACUCCUGACUGACCGAUAGUGAACCAGUACCGUGAGGGAAAGGCGAAAAGAACCCCGGCGAGGGGAGUGAAAAAGAACCUGAAACCGUGUACGUACAAGCAGUGGGAGCCUCUUAAUGGGGUGACUGCGUACCUUUUGUAUAAUGGGUCAGCGACUUAUAUUCUGUAGCAAGGUUAACCGAAUAGGGGAGCCGAAGGGAAACCGAGUCUUAACUGGGCGUUAAGUUGCAGGGUAUAGACCCGAAACCCGGUGAUCUAGCCAUGGGCAGGUUGAAGGUUGGGUAACACUAACUGGAGGACCGAACCGACUAAUGUUGAAAAAUUAGCGGAUGACUUGUGGCUGGGGGUGAAAGGCCAAUCAAACCGGGAGAUAGCUGGUUCUCCCCGAAAACUAUUUAGGUAGCGCCUCGUGAAUUCAUCUCCGGGGGUAGAGCACUGUUUCGGCAAGGGGGUCAUCCCGACUUACCAACCCGAUGCAAACUGCGAAUACCGGAGAAUGUUAUCACGGGAGACACACGGCGGGUGCUAACGUCCGUCGUGAAGAGGGAAACAACCCAGACCGCCAGCUAAGGUCCCAAAGUCAUGGUUAAGUGGGAAACGAUGUGGGAAGGCCCAGACAGCCAGGAUGUUGGCUUAGAAGCAGCCAUCAUUUAAAGAAAGCGUAAUAGCUCACUGGUCGAGUCGGCCUGCGCGGAAGAUGUAACGGGGCUAAACCAUGCACCGAAGCUGCGGCAGCGACGCUUAUGCGUUGUUGGGUAGGGGAGCGUUCUGUAAGCCUGUGAAGGUGUGCUGUGAGGCAUGCUGGAGGUAUCAGAAGUGCGAAUGCUGACAUAAGUAACGAUAAAGCGGGUGAAAAGCCCGCUCGCCGGAAGACCAAGGGUUCCUGUCCAACGUUAAUCGGGGCAGGGUGAGUCGACCCCUAAGGCGAGGCCGAAAGGCGUAGUCGAUGGGAAACAGGUUAAUAUUCCUGUACUUGGUGUUACUGCGAAGGGGGGACGGAGAAGGCUAUGUUGGCCGGGCGACGGUUGUCCCGGUUUAAGCGUGUAGGCUGGUUUUCCAGGCAAAUCCGGAAAACCAAGGCUGAGGCGUGAUGACGAGGCACUACGGUGCUGAAGCAACAAAUGCCCUGCUUCCAGGAAAAGCCUCUAAGCAUCAGGUAACAUCAAAUCGUACCCCAAACCGACACAGGUGGUCAGGUAGAGAAUACCAAGGCGCUUGAGAGAACUCGGGUGAAGGAACUAGGCAAAAUGGUGCCGUAACUUCGGGAGAAGGCACGCUGAUAUGUAGGUGAAGCGACUUGCUCGUGGAGCUGAAAUCAGUCGAAGAUACCAGCUGGCUGCAACUGUUUAUUAAAAACACAGCACUGUGCAAACACGAAAGUGGACGUAUACGGUGUGACGCCUGCCCGGUGCCGGAAGGUUAAUUGAUGGGGUUAGCGGUAACGCGAAGCUCUUGAUCGAAGCCCCGGUAAACGGCGGCCGUAACUAUAACGGUCCUAAGGUAGCGAAAUUCCUUGUCGGGUAAGUUCCGACCUGCACGAAUGGCGUAAUGAUGGCCAGGCUGUCUCCACCCGAGACUCAGUGAAAUUGAACUCGCUGUGAAGAUGCAGUGUACCCGCGGCAAGACGGAAAGACCCCGUGAACCUUUACUAUAGCUUGACACUGAACAUUGAGCCUUGAUGUGUAGGAUAGGUGGGAGGCUUUGAAGUGUGGACGCCAGUCUGCAUGGAGCCGACCUUGAAAUACCACCCUUUAAUGUUUGAUGUUCUAACGUUGGCCCGUAAUCCGGGUUGCGGACAGUGUCUGGUGGGUAGUUUGACUGGGGCGGUCUCCUCCUAAAGAGUAACGGAGGAGCACGAAGGUUGGCUAAUCCUGGUCGGACAUCAGGAGGUUAGUGCAAUGGCAUAAGCCAGCUUGACUGCGAGCGUGACGGCGCGAGCAGGUGCGAAAGCAGGUCAUAGUGAUCCGGUGGUUCUGAAUGGAAGGGCCAUCGCUCAACGGAUAAAAGGUACUCCGGGGAUAACAGGCUGAUACCGCCCAAGAGUUCAUAUCGACGGCGGUGUUUGGCACCUCGAUGUCGGCUCAUCACAUCCUGGGGCUGAAGUAGGUCCCAAGGGUAUGGCUGUUCGCCAUUUAAAGUGGUACGCGAGCUGGGUUUAGAACGUCGUGAGACAGUUCGGUCCCUAUCUGCCGUGGGCGCUGGAGAACUGAGGGGGGCUGCUCCUAGUACGAGAGGACCGGAGUGGACGCAUCACUGGUGUUCGGGUUGUCAUGCCAAUGGCACUGCCCGGUAGCUAAAUGCGGAAGAGAUAAGUGCUGAAAGCAUCUAAGCACGAAACUUGCCCCGAGAUGAGUUCUCCCUGAGACUUAGAGUCUCCUGAAGGAACGUUGAAGACGACGACGUUGAUAGGCCGGGUGUGUAAGCGCAGCGAUGCGUUGAGCUAACCGGUACUAAUGAACCGUGAGGCUUAACCUU